Molecule: non-coding RNA, 30 nt
Filed under: Rattus norvegicus (Norway rat)
Lineage: Eukaryota; Metazoa; Chordata; Mammalia; Rodentia; Muridae
Source: RNAcentral
UUUUGUAGAAUUGUAACUGCCACUAUAGUC